Molecule: ribosomal RNA, 442 nt
Filed under: uncultured bacterium
Lineage: Bacteria
Description: partial 16S ribosomal RNA
Rfam family: Bacterial small subunit ribosomal RNA
Source: RNAcentral
CCUACGGGAGGCAGCAGUGGGGAAUAUUGGGCAAUGGGCGCAAGCCUGCCCCAGCAACGCCGCGUGAAGGAAGAAGGCUUUCGGGUUGUAAACUUCUUUUCUCAGGGACGAAGCAAGUGACGGUACCUGAGGAAUAAGCCCCGGCUAACUACGUGCCAGCAGCCGCGGUAAUACGUAGGUGGCAAGCGUUAUCCGGAUUUACUGGGGGUAAAGGGCGUGUAGGCGGGCCUGUAAGUCAGAUGUGAAAACCACGGGCUCAACCUGUGGCCUGCAUUUGUAACUGUAGUUCUUGAGUACUGGAGAGGCAGACGGAAGUCCUAGUGUAGCGGUGAAAUGCGUAGAUAUUAGGAGGAACACCAGUGGCGAAGGCGGUCUGCUGGACAGCAACUGACGCUGAGGCGCGAAAGCGUGGGGAGCAAACAGGAUUAGAUACCCCGGUAGU